AACUGGGACUUGAUGACAGGGGAUGGAUCACUUGAUAAAUUGCUCUGUGCUGUUCAUUCCCUCUGAAGCAUCUGGCAGUGGCCACUGUUGGAAGACAAGAUACUGGGCUAGAUGAGCCAUUGAUUUGACCCAGUAUGGAUGUUCUUA
Long non-coding RNA from Chelonia mydas (Green sea turtle), 147 nucleotides. RefSeq lists it as uncharacterized. The record is from RefSeq and is a predicted model, not a curated record. NCBI's taxonomy places the organism in Eukaryota, Metazoa, Chordata, Testudines, Cheloniidae. The transcript has 3 exons.